UGGGAACUAAGCUGUGAACCAUUCCAGGAA
Molecule: non-coding RNA, 30 nt
Filed under: Rattus norvegicus (Norway rat)
Lineage: Eukaryota; Metazoa; Chordata; Mammalia; Rodentia; Muridae
Source: RNAcentral